UUCCGGUUGAUCCUGCCGGACCUGACUGCUAUCGGAUUGAUACUAAGCCAUGUGAGUCAUUGUAGUAAUACAAGGCAGACGGCUCAGUAACACGUAGCCAAUCUAACCUAUGGACGGGGAUAACCUCGGGAAACUGAGAGUAAACCCCGAUAGAUCAUAAUGCCUGGAACGGUUUAUGGUCCAAAUGAUUCGUCGCCGUAGGAUGAGACUGCGGCUUAUCAGCUUGUUGGUGAGGUAAUGGCCCACCAAGGCUAUUACAGGUACGGGCUCUGAGAGGAGAAGCCCGGAGAUGGGUACUGAGACACGGACCCAGGCCCUAUGGGGCGCAGCAGGCGAGAAACCUUUGCAAUGUGCGCAAGCACGACAAGGUUAAUCCGAGUGUUUCCUGCUUAAGGAAUCUUUUGCUAGUCCUAAAAACACUAGUGAAUAAGGGGUGGGCAAGUUCUGGUGUCAGCCGCCGCGGUAAAACCAGCACCUCAAGUGGUCAGGAGGAUUAUUGGGCCUAAAGCAUCCGUAGCUUGCUUUGUAAGUUUCCGGUUAAAUCCAUUAGCUCAACUAAUGGCCUGCCGGAAAUACUGCAGAACUAGGAAGUGGGAGAGGUAGACGGUACUCGGUAGGAAGGGGUAAAAUCCUUUGAUCUAUUGAUGACCACCUGUGGCGAAGGCGGUCUACCAGAACACGUUCGACAGUGAGGGAUGAAAGCUGGGGGAGCAAACCGGAUUAGAUACCCGGGUAGUCCCAGCCGUAAACGAUGCAG
This 757-nucleotide ribosomal RNA is filed under the name uncultured archaeon. Its description in RNAcentral is "bacterial SSU rRNA". It matches the Rfam family "Archaeal small subunit ribosomal RNA", at positions 1 to 765 of the family's 1478-position model. The record is from RNAcentral.